Molecule: long non-coding RNA, 298 nt
Filed under: Elaeis guineensis (African oil palm)
Lineage: Eukaryota; Viridiplantae; Streptophyta; Magnoliopsida; Arecales; Arecaceae
Description: long non-coding RNA (EGUI_LNC070097)
Source: RNAcentral
UCCCUUUUCUCUUGAAUUUUUUUUAGACCUUUUCUUUUCAUUAUCCUCUCAUUCUCAUGUCUAAACCAAGCCAAAAAAAUGGGACAUCGAACCAUGGACUAGCGCCCCCUUUUUAUAGGAAACAAUGGGGCAUACCAUGGAACGCCAACUCUUGGCAUCCCUUAAUUCUUACAUGCCACCUAUUAAUAUUUGCACAGAAUCCCAUGGGUUAAGGCAUAGAAAAAGAGGUGUUUCAUCUACAAAAAGACUCUUCCUCUACUAAAAAAAUCUGAAUGCCAUAAUAUGGUGCGAGGGAGAU